Gallus gallus (chicken) is the source of this 1466-nucleotide long non-coding RNA. RefSeq lists it as uncharacterized. The record is from RefSeq and is a predicted model, not a curated record. NCBI's taxonomy places the organism in Eukaryota, Metazoa, Chordata, Aves, Galliformes, Phasianidae. The transcript has 3 exons.
GAACAUGGAGAAGUCAAUAGCUAAGACAGGGAUAGGAGCAGUCACAGAUUUGGUUUCAAAAUAUAGCCAAGAGCAACCUAUUCUAAAAUAUAUCACUUACUGAAACAGUGCACUGGGGAACAUUAGAAUGAAAUAUGUUAUCUGAGGAUGCUGGAAAAAAGGUUCUUCAACUUCUUGAGAGCAUCUGUCACAUCCCACAUGGGGAAUGAAAUUUGCAAAUCCCUUCAGAUUAAAGUGAAAUGCUACGCAAAGUCAUUUCCUCCUUUUCAAGAAGAGAACAUCAACUUCAAUAGGAUAUUUCUUCAAAACUGUUAUCCUAUAUGCUUUGGUCCUCUCACAAUUAUAUCUACAUAAGCUGUGCAAUUUUAUAAGGAAUUCAGGAGAGAAGAGAAGAGAAGAGAAGAGAAGAGAAGAGAAGAGAAGAGAAGAGAAGAGAAGAGAAGAGAAGAGAAGAGAAGAGAAGAGAAGAGAAGAGAAGAGAAGAGAAGAGAAGAGAAGAGAAGAAUAAAUUCUGUUGACAGUAAAAGAAUAUACAACCUGAAACCUUACAAGAUAAGAAGAGUUACAAUGUAGAAAAUGUUGAGAUAGUAAGAAUGACUCAAUGGUCCAUGAAGAAGUAAAGAUAAUAUUGAUCUUCAGAAAAAGUUAGAUACCCCUUUAAUCCCUCACACACAGAAGAUGAGAAGUCAGCACAACUGAAUUUCAGCCAUUUGGAGCAAUGGAGGCUGAUGGUGAGCAUGUGAACAGAUAAGCCUGUAGCAUGCUAAACCUGCUAUCUAUCAUGUAUUAGCUAAUGAAAAGCUAGUGUGUACUGUUAUACAUAUACUGGUGACAAAAUGUCUUUUCACAAAGUAAUAAUAAAAUAUCCAAACAAAUACGUUUAUGAUGGAGGUUUACACUGUGUUCCUAUAUAAGACAUGUAAAUUCAAUAAAACAGUUGAACAUGUCCCUCUUAUCAAUAAUGUGAAACAUGAGCCAGGGUAAUGGCCCAUAGCUCUUUUCCCAUCUCCUUUCUUAACAGGCCAUAUAGACAUAGGUUACGUUAUAGCCCAGACUAUGAAGGCUUACAAGAGAGCUAGAAGUAACCUGAGAUCCUUCCAUUUCUUUGUGGUAUUGUAGUGACCUAGUGAUCUUCCACCUUGGGAAGUCUUUGUGAUUUUUGAUCUGACCAUGGAGCUUUUCAGUGAAAAUAGAAAACUAUGCUUUUGUAUCUUGUAAUUUAUAUCUUCACAGAGGAGGAAUUUCAUCAGUUGACACUGUUAUUCUUAUAGGCUAUUCCCCAGGAGACAGAUAUAAAUCUUCAUGAAGUUUGAAGAGUAGCUUGUAUAUUCUUUGGUUUUCGUUUCAGAGGGUGAUUUAUAAAGAGUAUGCUUAUGAUUGACUAAAUUUUGUUUGUCCUGGUUUAAGUAGGGAAUGAUGAACAACUACUGUACUGAUAAACAUGAAUAAAGGUAAUUUUUGUUCAA